Molecule: ribosomal RNA, 2211 nt
Filed under: Escherichia coli
Lineage: Bacteria; Pseudomonadati; Pseudomonadota; Gammaproteobacteria; Enterobacterales; Enterobacteriaceae
Description: partial 23S ribosomal RNA
Rfam family: Bacterial large subunit ribosomal RNA
Source: RNAcentral
GGGUUGUGAGGUUAAGCGACUAAGCGUACACGGUGGAUGCCCUGGCAGUCAGAGGCGAUGAAGGACGUGCUAAUCUGCGAUAAGCGUCGGUAAGGUGAUAUGAACCGUUAUAACCGGCGAUUUCCGAAUGGGGAAACCCAGUGUGUUUCGACACACUAUCAUUAACUGAAUCCAUAGGUUAAUGAGGCGAACCGGGGGAACUGAAACAUCUAAGUACCCCGAGGAAAAGAAAUCAACCGAGAUUCCCCCAGUAGCGGCGAGCGAACGGGGAGCAGCCCAGAGCCUGAAUCAGUGUGUGUGUUAGUGGAAGCGUCUGGAAAGGCGUGCGAUACAGGGUGACAGCCCCGUACACAAAAAUGCACAUAUUGUGAGCUCGAUGAGUAGGGCGGGACACGUGGUAUCCUGUCUGAAUAUGGGGGGACCAUCCUCCAAGGCUAAAUACUCCUGACUGACCGAUAGUGAACCAGUACCGUGAGGGAAAGGCGAAAAGAACCCCGGCGAGGGGAGUGAAAAAGAACCUGAAACCGUGUACGUACAAGCAGUGGGAGCACGCUUAGGCGUGUGACUGCGUACCUUUUGUAUAAUGGGUCAGCGACUUAUAUUCUGUAGCAAGGUUAACCGAAUAGGGGAGCCGAAGGGAAACCGAGUCUUAACUGGGCGUUAAGUUGCAGGGUAUAGACCCGAAACCCGGUGAUCUAGCCAUGGGCAGGUUGAAGGUUGGGUAACACUAACUGGAGGACCGAACCGACUAAUGUUGAAAAAUUAGCGGAUGACUUGUGGCUGGGGGUGAAAGGCCAAUCAAACCGGGAGAUAGCUGGUUCUCCCCGAAAGCUAUUUAGGUAGCGCCUCGUGAAUUCAUCUCCGGGGGUAGAGCACUGUUUCGGCAAGGGGGUCAUCCCGACUUACCAACCCGAUGCAAACUGCGAAUACCGGAGAAUGUUAUCACGGGAGACACACGGCGGGUGCUAACGUCCGUCGUGAAGAGGGAAACAACCCAGACCGCCAGCUAAGGUCCCAAAGUCAUGGUUAAGUGGGAAACGAUGUGGGAAGGCCCAGACAGCCAGGAUGUUGGCUUAGAAGCAGCCAUCAUUUAAAGAAAGCGUAAUAGCUCACUGGUCGAGUCGGCCUGCGCGGAAGAUGUAACGGGGCUAAACCAUGCACCGAAGCUGCGGCAGCGACGCUGAUGCGUUGUUGGGUAGGGGAGCGUUCUGUAAGCCUGCGAAGGUGUGCUGUGAGGCAUGCUGGAGGUAUCAGAAGUGCGAAUGCUGACAUAAGUAACGAUAAAGCGGGUGAAAAGCCCGCUCGCCGGAAGACCAAGGGUUCCUGUCCAACGUUAAUCGGGGCAGGGUGAGUCGACCCCUAAGGCGAGGCCGAAAGGCGUAGUCGAUGGGAAACAGGUUAAUAUUCCUGUACUUGGUGUUACUGCGAAGGGGGGACGGAGAAGGCUAUGUUGGCCGGGCGACGGUUGUCCCGGUUUAAGCGUGUAGGCUGGUUUUCCAGGCAAAUCCGGAAAAUCAAGGCUGAGGCGUGAUGACGAGGCACUACGGUGCUGAAGCAACAAAUGCCCUGCUUCCAGGAAAAGCCUCUAAGCAUCAGGUAACAUCAAAUCGUACCCCAAACCGACACAGGUGGUCAGGUAGAGAAUACCAAGGCGCUUGAGAGAACUCGGGUGAAGGAACUAGGCAAAAUGGUGCCGUAACUUCGGGAGAAGGCACGCUGAUAUGUAGGUGAAGUUGCUCGCGGAUGGAGCUGAAAUCAGUCGAAGAUACCAGCUGGCUGCAACUGUUUAUUAAAAACACAGCACUGUGCAAACACGAAAGUGGACGUAUACGGUGUGACGCCUGCCCGGUGCCGGAAGGUUAAUUGAUGGGGUCAGCGCAAGCGAAGCUCUUGAUCGAAGCCCCGGUAAACGGCGGCCGUAACUAUAACGGUCCUAAGGUAGCGAAAUUCCUUGUCGGGUAAGUUCCGACCUGCACGAAUGGCGUAAUGAUGGCCAGGCUGUCUCCACCCGAGACUCAGUGAAAUUGAACUCGCUGUGAAGAUGCAGUGUACCCGCGGCAAGACGGAAAGACCCCGUGAACCUUUACUAUAGCUUGACACUGAACAUUGAGCCUUGAUGUGUAGGAUAGGUGGGAGGCUUUGAAGUGUGGACGCCAGUCUGCAUGGAGCCGACCUUGAAAUACCACCCUUUAAUGUUUGAUGUUCUAACGU